AACGCACAUUGCACCCGGUGGUAUUCCGCCGGGUAUGCCUGUUCGAGCGUCAUCAUAACCACUCAAGCUUGUCUUGGUGUUGGGGUUGCGAUUCUUGCAGCCUUAAAGUCCAGUAGCGUCACCUGUGGGUUCUAAGCGUAGUAAUUUCUCCUCACUAUAGAGCCUGCUCGUGGAUAGUACAAUUCCAGUCAAGUCUGGUAUCUCGCUAUUAAACCCCCAAAUUUAAAGGUUUGACCUCGGAUCAAGUAGGGAUACCCGCUGAACUUAA
This 268-nucleotide unclassified non-coding RNA is filed under the name uncultured fungus. RNAcentral describes it as "sequence contains ITS2". Lineage: Eukaryota; Fungi. The record is from RNAcentral.